AUGAAUAACUUGUUAAAUAAAUUUAAAGUUUAACUUAUAAGAAAAAUAAUUUUAAAUUGAAACUGUUAGUAAUUUGUAAUAAAAUCAGUUAAAGACUAUAGUUUAGAGUACUGUAAAGGAAAGUAAGAAAAUUAAAAAUAGUAAAUUUAAAAAUAUGUACCUUGUGUAUCAGGGAGAAUUUAUAUAAAUUAAUAAUAAUUAAGUAUCUCGAAAUAAAAUAUAGCUAAUUUUAUAAAAAAUUUUUUGUAGAAAAUAAAUUUUUAAUAUAAAAUUAAAGGUGAAACGCUAAUCGAGUUUUAUAAUAUCUAGUUCUUUAAAAAUAAAUUUAAUUUAGUUUUUAUAUAAACAAGAUAGAAAAACUAAGUGUAGGAGGGAUUAGCUUCUUAUAAACAAGAAUAAUAAAGAGCUAAGUAAAAAUAUAAAUAUAACGAAUUAGGCUUAAAAGCAGCUAUAUUGAUAAAGUGUUUUAACUAAGUUAAAAUUAGAUAAUAUUUGUUAAAGCUUUUUUUAAUAUUAAAGAAUUAAUUUAAACUAAAAGAAUUAAAUUAAAAUGAUUCUAUUAGUAAAAAUUUAUUAUAAAAUGAAUUAAUAAAAUAAUAAAAAUUAUUUAAAGUUUAUUUAAUAAAAUAUAGGAACUCGGCAAAUUUUAUUUCUUUGCCUGUUUAUCAAAAACAUGUCUAUUUGAAGUUAUAAAAAGUCUAACCUGCCCACUGAUAAAUUAUAUUAAAUGGCCGCGGUAUUUUGACCGUGCAAAGGUAGCAUAAUCGUUAGUUUUUUAAUUGGAAUCUUGUAUGAAUGGUUGGACAAAAGAAAAGCUGUCUUUAUAUUAUUCAUUGAAUUUAACUCUUAAGUGAAAAGGCUUAAAUAUAUUAAAGGGACGAUAAGACCCUAUAAAGCUUAAUAUUAAAAUUUUAUUUAGUUGAAUUUUAAAUCAUAAAAACUUAGUAAUUAAAUUUAUUUUAUUGGGGCGAUAAAAGUAAAAUGACUAUUAACUGCUUAAUUAUUAAUACAUAAUAAAUGAUUAAAUUUUUAAAUGAUCCUAGUUAAAGAUUAAAAGUUUAAGUUACUUUAGGGAUAACAGCGUUAUUUUUUUUAAGAGUACUUAUCGAAAAAAAAGUUUGCGACCUCGAUGUUGAAUUAAAAUAUCUUUAUAAUUGCAGCAGUUAUAAAAGUAGGUCUGUUCGACCUUU
RNAcentral lists this ribosomal RNA (1190 nucleotides) under Hemigrapsus crenulatus. RNAcentral's name for it is "partial 16S ribosomal RNA". The record is from RNAcentral. Lineage: Eukaryota; Metazoa; Arthropoda; Malacostraca; Decapoda; Varunidae.